CAGUCGCCGCGGUAAUACGUAGGGUGCAAGCGUUAAUCGGAAUUACUGGGCGUAAAGCGUGCGCAGGCGGUUUGUUAAGACAGAUGUGAAAUCCCCGGGCUCAACCUGGGAACUGCAUUUGUGACUGGCAAGCUAGAGUGUGGCAGAAGGGGGGUGGAAUUCCGCGUGUAGCAGUGAAAUGCGUAGAUAUGCGGAAGAACACCGGUGGCGAAGGCGGCGACCUGGUCCUUGACUGACGCUGAGGCGCGAAAGCGUGGGGAGCAAACAGGAUUAGAUACCCCGGUAGUCCCUGUCUCUUAUA
RNAcentral lists this ribosomal RNA (301 nucleotides) under uncultured bacterium. RNAcentral's name for it is "partial 16S ribosomal RNA". It matches the Rfam family "Bacterial small subunit ribosomal RNA", at positions 509 to 808 of the family's 1533-position model. The record is from RNAcentral.